This 237-nucleotide ribosomal RNA is filed under the name Exiguobacterium sp. SL-10. Its description in RNAcentral is "partial 16S ribosomal RNA". It matches the Rfam family "Bacterial small subunit ribosomal RNA", at positions 1013 to 1250 of the family's 1533-position model. Lineage: Bacteria; Bacillati; Bacillota; Bacilli; Caryophanales. The record is from RNAcentral.
UUCCCCUUCGGGGGCAGGGGUGACAGGUGGUGCAUGGUUGUCGUCAGCUCGUGUCGUGAGAUGUUGGGUUAAGUCCCGCAACGAGCGCAACCCUUGUCCUUAGUUGCCAGCAUUCAGUUGGGCACUCUAAGGAGACUGCCGGUGACAAACCGGAGGAAGGUGGGGAUGACGUCAAAUCAUCAUGCCCCUUAUGAGUUGGGCUACACACGUGCUACAAUGGACGGUACAAAGGGCAGC